AGCGAACGUUAGCGGCGCGCCUAACACAUGCAAGUCGAGCGAGAAAGGGAGCAAUCCUGAGUAAAGCGGCGGACGGGUGCGUAACACGUAGAUAACCUGCCCUUUGGAGGGGGAUAACGUUCCGAAAGGAGCGCUAAUACCGCGUAAAGCAUUUGGUGGUUCGCCACUGGAUGGCAAAGGUUGGGACCCGCAAGGGCCAACCGCCAGAGGAGGGGCUCUGCGGCCCAUCAGCUAGUUGGUAAGGUAAUGGCUUACCAAGGCAAAGACGGGUAGCUGGUCUGAGAGGAUGAUCAGCCACACUGGUACUGGAACACGGACCAGACUCCUACGGGAGGCAGCAGUGGGGAAUCUUGGUCAAUGGGCGCAAGCCUGAACCAGCGACGCCGCGUGAGUGAUGAAGGCCUUCGGGUUGUAAAAGCUCUGUGGGGAGGGNCGAAAAGAGCACGUUCUAACAGGACNUGUGUUUGACGGUACCUCCUUAGCAAGCACCGGCUAACUCUGUGCCAGCAGCCGCGGUAAGNCAGAGGGUGCAAACGUUGCUCGGAAUCACUGGGCGUAAAGGGCGUGUAGGCGGACUUGCAAGUCAGGCGUGAAAUCCUGGGCUCAACCCAGGAAUUGCACUUGAAACUGCAAAGUCUUGAGUGUCGGAGAGGAAAAGCGGAAUUCCUGGUGUAGAGGUGAAAUUUCGUAGAUAUCAGGAGGAACACCGGUGGCGAAGGCGGCUUUCUGGACGAUAACUGACGCUGAGACGCGAAAAGCGUGGGGGAGC
Molecule: ribosomal RNA, 769 nt
Filed under: uncultured bacterium
Lineage: Bacteria
Description: bacterial SSU rRNA
Rfam family: Bacterial small subunit ribosomal RNA
Source: RNAcentral